GAUGAACGCUGGCGGCGUGCCUAACACAUGCAAGUCGAGCGAUUCUCUUCGGAGAAGAGCGGCGGACGGGUGAGUAACGCGUGGGUAACCUGCCCUGUACACACGGAUAACAUACCGAAAGGUAUGCUAAUACGAGAUAACAUACUUUUAUCGCAUGGUAGAAGUAUCAAAGCUCCGGCGGUACAGGAUGGACCCGCGUCUGAUUAGCUAGUUGGUAAGGUAACGGCUUACCAAGGCGACGAUCAGUAGCCGACCUGAGAGGGUGAUCGGCCACAUUGGAACUGAGACACGGUCCAAACUCCUACGGGAGGCAGCAGUGGGGAAUAUUGCACAAUGGGCGAAAGCCUGGUGCAGCAACGCCGCGUGAGCGAUGAAGGCCUUCGGGUCGUAAAGCUCUGUCCUCAAGGAAGAUAAUGACGGUACUUGAGGAGGAAGCCCCGGCUAACUACGUGCCAGCCGCCGCCGUAA
RNAcentral lists this ribosomal RNA (468 nucleotides) under uncultured bacterium. RNAcentral's name for it is "partial 16S ribosomal RNA". It matches the Rfam family "Bacterial small subunit ribosomal RNA", at positions 28 to 523 of the family's 1533-position model. The record is from RNAcentral.